UACAGAGGGCUCAAGCGUUGUUCGGAUUCAUUGGGCGUAAAGGGCGCGUAGGCGGCUUGCUAAGUCAAAGGUGAAAUCCCUCGGCUCAACUGAGGAACUGCCUUUGAAACUAGCGAGCUUGAGGCCGGGAGGGGGUAGCGGAAUUCCCAGUGUAGCGGUGAAAUGCGUAGAUACUGGGAGGAACACCAGUGGCGAAGGCGGCUACCUGGACCGGUACUGACGCUGAGGCGCGAAAGCGUGGGUAGCAAACAGG
Molecule: ribosomal RNA, 253 nt
Filed under: uncultured bacterium
Lineage: Bacteria
Description: partial 16S ribosomal RNA
Rfam family: Bacterial small subunit ribosomal RNA
Source: RNAcentral